RNAcentral lists this ribosomal RNA (515 nucleotides) under uncultured bacterium. RNAcentral describes it as "bacterial SSU rRNA". It matches the Rfam family "Bacterial small subunit ribosomal RNA", at positions 28 to 517 of the family's 1533-position model. The record is from RNAcentral.
GACGAACGCUGGCGGCGUGCUUAACACAUGCAAGUCGAACGGAGAUUAUUAAUGAAGCUUGCGAUUUAAUAAUCUUAGUGGCGGACGGGUGAGUAACGCGUGGGCAACCUACCCAUAAGAGGGGGAUAACAGCUGGAAACGGCUGCUAAUACCGCAUAAACUUUUUAAGACACAUGUUUUAAAAAGGAAAGGUGGCGCAAGCUAUCGCUUAUGGAUGGGCCCGCGUCUGAUUAGCUAGUUGGUGGGGUAACGGCCUACCAAGGCAACGAUCAGUAGCCGGCCUGAGAGGGUGGACGGCCACACUGGGACUGAGACACGGCCCAGACUCCUACGGGAGGCAGCAGUGGGGAAUAUUGCGCAAUGGGGGAAACCCUGACGCAGCGACGCCGCGUGAGCGAAGAAGGCCUUAGGGUUGUAAAGCUCUGCUCUAUGGGACGAAGUCCUUGACUGUGAAUAAUGGUCAAGGUUGACGGUACCAUAGGAGGAAGCCCCGGCUAACUACGUGCCAGCAGCCG